UCUUUUAGGAUUUCUUCAUAAUUAUGUGGAAAUCUGAGUACUCUAGCGGCUUCCAUUGUCUUGUUAGUCUUAGUACUCUUGAUGCUCUGUGGCAUAAUCUUUCUUGGUUCUUCAUUGAGUACGGCAGCAUCACUAUGGUGGCCUUGAGGAGAAGCAUUGCUUAGUUCUUGAUUUUGUUGUAAAUCCUGAUCUUGUGACAACCCUGACCCCAUUUCUCUGAGAAGAACUCUUUGUGGAUGCUGG
This 243-nucleotide unclassified non-coding RNA is filed under the name Hevea brasiliensis (rubber tree). The record is from RNAcentral. Lineage: Eukaryota; Viridiplantae; Streptophyta; Magnoliopsida; Malpighiales; Euphorbiaceae.